CUGGUUCCUCCUCCGCAGAACCCCGCCUCCACUCACUCCUCCUCCGCCUCCAGCGCCACCUCGUAUCUCCUCAAUCCCGGCAUGUCCUGGGCUCCGAGCGUCUCCUGGGGAGCGGCAUGGUUGGGUCAAGGAGCCCUCCCAGCCCCAGGUCCCCUUCUCCGGCCUUUUCAGGACGAGUCUGACUAGCUCUCAGAAACUAUGUGCUGGUCCCUCUAGGCCUCUCUCCUCCUACUCCAGUUUACCCCCUCCUGGCAAGCGAAUCAGUCCAGUAAGAAGAUGAGAACUGCCACACAGGAGGCCACGGGAUGGAUGGAGAUGGAUAAGUGGGCAGAAUCCCUGGGAGCAGCAGGCCCUUGGAUCACAUCAGAGUUCAGCCUGAGAGAUCAGAUGACUCCAGAAGGAGGCUGGUUACCAGAAAGACCAACUAUGUGUCUAGGAGGUGGGGAUGUUGAGCCAGCAUGACAACCUCUAGGGAGUGGAGAAGGAUUGGGGAUUGCAUUCACCUGUGACCAACAGUUUAGUCAUGGCUACAUAAUGAAAUCACAAUAAAAAAUCUGAACACCAAAGCUCAUAGAACCUCCUGGUUUGUGAACACAUUGAUGUAUUGGGAGGGUGGCACACUCUGUCUCCCCAGAGAGGGAGAGACAGCACAAACAUCUGCAUUUGAGACUCUUCCAGACUUCAUCCUACGUGUCUCUUCAUUUGGCUGUUCCUGAUAUAUAUCCUUUAUAAAAAAUUGUAAGUGGGGCCAGCGUUGCCCAGCGGGUUAAGCCACCACCUGCAACACCAGUAUCACAUAUGCACACCAGUUUGAGUCCAGGCUGCUCCACUUCAAUCUAGCUCCCCACUAAUGAACCUAGGAAGGCAGAAGAAGAUGGCCCAAGUACUUGGGCCCCUGCCACCAAUAUGGGAGACCCAGA
Molecule: long non-coding RNA, 920 nt
Organism: Lepus europaeus (European hare)
Lineage: Eukaryota; Metazoa; Chordata; Mammalia; Lagomorpha; Leporidae
Exons: 3
Source: RefSeq, a predicted model, not a curated record